This 307-nucleotide unclassified non-coding RNA is filed under the name plant metagenome. RNAcentral's name for it is "partial contains 5.8S ribosomal RNA, internal transcribed spacer 2, and large subunit ribosomal RNA". The stretch from base 1 to 105 matches the Rfam family "5.8S ribosomal RNA", at positions 50 to 154 of the family's 154-position model. The record is from RNAcentral.
GAAAUGCGAUAAGUAAUGUGAAUUGCAGAAUUCAGUGAAUCAUCGAAUCUUUGAACGCACAUUGCGCCCGCCAGCACUCUGGCGGGCAUGCCUGUUCGAGCGUCAUUUCAACCCUCAGAACCCCUUGCGGGAUCUGGCGUUGGGGAUUGGCAUCCAGCCAGCCCCGAAAUCUAGCGGCGGUCCCUCCGCGACCUCCCCUGUGCAGUAGCGAUACCUCGCAGCGGGACAGCGGUCUGACCACGCCGUAAAACCCCCAACUUCUCAAGGUUGACCUCGAAUCAGGUAGGAAUACCCACUGAACUUAAGC